CGGCGGACGGGUGAGUAACGCGUGGGUAACCUGCCUCAUACAGGGGGAUAACAGUUGGAAACGGCUGCUAAUACCGCAUAAGCGCACAGUACCGCAUGAUACGGUGUGAAAAACUCCGGUGGUAUGAGAUGGACCCGCGUCUGAUUAGGUAGUUGGUGGGGUAACGGCCUACCAAGCCGACGAUCAGUAGCCGACCUGAGAGGGUGACCGGCCACAUUGGGACUGAGACACGGCCCAA
This 238-nucleotide ribosomal RNA is filed under the name uncultured bacterium. Its description in RNAcentral is "partial 16S ribosomal RNA". It matches the Rfam family "Bacterial small subunit ribosomal RNA", at positions 96 to 334 of the family's 1533-position model. The record is from RNAcentral.